UCCCUGCUGGUCUAGCGGCUAAGGAUCCUGUGCUGUCAGUGCCACAGCCCAGGUUCAAUUCCUGGGCAGGGAA
Molecule: non-coding RNA, 73 nt
Organism: Pangasianodon gigas (Mekong giant catfish)
Lineage: Eukaryota; Metazoa; Chordata; Actinopteri; Siluriformes; Pangasiidae
Source: the annotation of a GenBank genome assembly